Molecule: transfer RNA, 84 nt
Filed under: Acidobacteriota bacterium
Lineage: Bacteria; Pseudomonadati; Acidobacteriota
Also listed under: 2 other names
Description: Acidobacteria bacterium (rhizosphere metagenome) tRNA-Leu
Rfam family: tRNA
About the family: Transfer RNA (tRNA) molecules are approximately 80 nucleotides in length.
Source: RNAcentral
GCCGGGGUGGUGGAAUCGGUAGACACGCGGGUCUCAAAAACCCGUGGCCGCAAGGCCGUGACGGUUCGAGUCCGUCCCUCGGUA